CGCACGUGAAAAAUCUCAUGCGCACCCCCUCCCACCGGCCGGCUCCCGCUGAAGGAAGUCGAUGCCGCCGUCCUCUCGCCUUCAUCCGUCCUCUGCCACAAUCCUUCGUCUUGCCUUGCUCCCGCCACAAGCCAACACGCUGGGCUUUCUGCUCCUCGACUUAGAUUGAGGCAUCGGUUUCCUCUCCACAGGUGCAUGUAAUCCGCUUCAGCAGUCACCGUUUCUUCUCUCAUCCAGCGCGCCAGGUAGGGUUCAGUGUAAACUCUUACUCCACUGCAGCACUACCGGUCAUGUGGCCCUCCUUUUCCUGUGAUACAACAUCAAGAUAGACUGUACCUUAAACUGAAAGGAACCAGAGGUACUUUACUGGUGGGAUCAGGUGGUUUAGAUAGAUCUGGCUGUGGUUUUUCGUGGAAGUUUGAAUUGCCAUGUACUUCUUUGGCUUAGAUAGACCUGACUGUGGUUUUUGCUGUUAAUUUGAGUUCCAAAGAACUUAUUUUGUUUUCAUGGCGUUUACAACACAGUAGCCUACAGCGACAUGUUUUGAUGAUGGCGUCAUCCGUGAGAAUUCUUCUUCUUUUUAGGCAAAAUCACGCGUUAGAAUUCAGUAGGUGUGAUCUGCAUUUGAUUGAUUCAUGAUUUCCCUUGCAGGUUGAAUUAUCCAGGCACGAAUUUAAAGCAUUUUUAUGUCCGGUUCCUGCAAAUGUUGCUGAAGGGUUGUCAUGUGUUUUAAGUAGGAUAGCUGGAAGCCGCAUAUGUUGCUGAAGCACAUAUCAAUCUGGUGGUCUUCAAUAGCAGUAUGCAUUAUUCGUCAGGUAACAAGUCAAUCUGUGAUUGUGUCCCUGCAAGUUCGCACAUCUUUUCGCCUUUAAUAGGUUCUCUUCCCCUGCAACUUCCUCUCUACAAGACUAUGUCCUUCGUUUCCUCCCAGACUCCACACUCAAGUGACAGCUGCUUCCCAGAUUUCUCUCCAUAUCAGAUGUGUCAUUGGAUGGGGAGUGGUGCUAUGGAUGCUUACACUGAUAAAUGUAUCUAGAUCACCUCCUUAAAUCUUCAGCUCAGUGGUUAAAAUAAAUGCCUCAAGGGGCACACAGAAGUUUCCGUGUGAAUUGUACAUGAUGCCUAGAAUCUAAUUGCUGGACAUCACUUAUUAGCUCUGCUAUAUCGUACAACAAGCCAUGGAUAAUACACUUUUAGAUGUAUGCACUAAAGUUACUUUAAGAUUUAAUUUUGGAGACUAAAUUACAUUCGGAAUUUUGUAAACACGCCGUAUUUUGUAGAAUUUAAUUAUAUCCCAAUAUGGCAUUUAACAUAAAAUUAAAUAAAAUGUAUCUUUGGUGCAAAAAUAAGUCUCCUAUCUUCUUUUAAGAAAAUCCGGGGAAAGGAAAUAUACCUACCGGAUCAGAAAAGGAAGACCCAAAAGAACCGAUUUUAGAGACCAUGUGAACAUGCAAUUCUUGUAUAGAAAAUAGUACAUCAUUUUUCUUAUCAUGUCUCCAUUUAUAUCCAUGCCAACAGAUUUCCUUUUUGCCAUUCAAAAUAUGUUUCUGCAUGUGGAAGGUCCAUGCACAGGUUAUUUUCUCCCACUUUAUCUCCAACAAAAUCUCCUUUAUCAUUAAUUAAUGGCUUGCAAACAACAACCUGAACAUAUCAUCAUAUGGAAAUAUAGGUUGGUUGAAUUUUAGGAAACUUGGUCGUACUUAUCAUACUACCUCUGUCCGGGUU
This is a long non-coding RNA of Triticum aestivum (bread wheat), 1725 nucleotides long. RefSeq lists it as uncharacterized. The transcript has 3 exons. NCBI's taxonomy places the organism in Eukaryota, Viridiplantae, Streptophyta, Magnoliopsida, Poales, Poaceae. The record is from RefSeq and is a predicted model, not a curated record.